This is a long non-coding RNA of Mauremys mutica (yellowpond turtle), 278 nucleotides long. RefSeq lists it as uncharacterized. The transcript has 3 exons. Lineage: Eukaryota; Metazoa; Chordata; Testudines; Geoemydidae. The record is from RefSeq and is a predicted model, not a curated record.
CAUGUCAGCUGCACUGAGUGAAAUUUGCACUUUGAUUUUUCCAGAAGGUAGACUGGUUUCUGUUUCAGAGAAAGAGAGAAGAGAGUGAGUUCCGAUCAACGCUCUUACACAACGGAUUAUUGCAGAAGGCACUCACUGGGACUGUGAUUAUCUUCAAAGUGAAAACAAAUACUUGAGGAGCAAAUAGCAGAGUCUACACUGAUUUUUUCACCAGUUUCAGCCAAAUACAGGAUCUGACAAGAUGGGAAGGCGUAAGUCUGCAUGGAUUUUUAAAAAGU